This 2098-nucleotide long non-coding RNA is filed under the name Nicotiana benthamiana. RNAcentral's name for it is "long non-coding RNA (NBEN_LNC031992)". The record is from RNAcentral. Lineage: Eukaryota; Viridiplantae; Streptophyta; Magnoliopsida; Solanales; Solanaceae.
UCGAGUAAAACGUGAUUGGUGUGGUUUAUACCAAUGGCUCAGUUUUUAUGUCACUCGUUUCUUUUUUAUACAAUGACUCACCGGUAUUUUUUUCUCUUUCUUCUCUAACUUGCUACAUAACAGAUCUAGUAGUGCUACAAUAUUUGUUUGCAGUAGAACAAAUAGAGGGUAUUUAGUUCAAUCAAAGUAUAUUUGUCUAAGGCUUAAGGAUGUGUAUAAAUACUUUGUAGGAGGCUGUUACCGAAGAGGUUUGCCAACCUAAGAGAUUGAUCCUUGGAAUGAGAUUAAUUCUUUCCAAGAAUAAGGUUAUUUGCCGUUGCUCUUCCUUGAUGAGAUGACUUUAAUAGCUUUCCUUCUGCAGGUCUUGAUAGCGCUAGAUUUUCUCCUUGAUUUUUGGUCCUUCCAGUAAUAGCAGCUUGAUUGAUCAUCUUGCAAGAUCUUCGAUGCUUCUUUUCCGCUUCAAUCAAUCUCUGAUUGAUUUCCUUGCCGGAUCUUUAGUUGGUUGAUUGAUUCCUUCCUUUUGAUUUUUUUAAUCUUGGAUGCUUUCCUUGAGUCCCUAUACCAAAAACAAUUAUAUUAUUUUUCUUCAUUAAAAUUAAAAUAACAAUCUCCCCCUUUUUGGUGAUGACAAAAUAAUAUAUAUAAAUAUCAGUUGACUUUCAUGUAUUUUACUCCCCCUCAAUGAGUGCAGUUGACUCCUCCUGAAUAGGUAUUGUUGAGAUUACUUCCUUUAGUUGACUACUUCUGCAGGAUCUCUGACUCCCCCUCAAGAGGUGCCGUUGGGACUUCUUUUAGUCUCUUCUCCUAUAGUAUCUAUGUCGAUACCUCAUUUUUCUCGCGAAAUCGGGUUUAUGACAUUUGGACGGACAACUCGUUUCCUUUUGGGAAUUGGAUUUGAAUUGAAGAGUCACCACCUGAUGAUUAAGUGCAUUACUAAGAAGAACUUUGAUUAAUAAAACUAUAAAUUGGAUAAGAGCUUGAAAUUAUUCCGAGGGGAACGUUUUAGGCACCCCUCGGGAUCCACUAGUGUGGUCUCCGGCCAUACUACAAUUGUGACUUUAAGUGCAAACAACAAAUAGACAAAUAAGAGUUACAAAUAUAAAGGGCUUUUCAUAUAAUUAUUGUGAAUUACUACAGUUAAACAAAAUUGGAGAAGUUGAAAUUUGAGGGAAGAAUCUGUCUUAGAGAUUUCGAAUAGACGAGUAAAAAGAGGAAAUUUUCACAUAGUUGUUACAAAUUUAAAGUAAUUAAAACCUGAAGUUUGAGAAAAGCAGUUGAAAUUCUGAAAGAAAGUAAACAAAUAAGGGAAGGGGUCCUAGGUUUAUACAUAAUAUGGAUCACCCCACCGCAACACCCGGUAACCAUUUAUACACGUGGUAUUAUCACGUGGUCAUCAUAUCCAUAUCUACCCUUUCCCACCCCGUUAAGGUAUUAAAUGCGGAAUGGUCUCGUUUUACUUAUUAUAUGAUAUUAUCCAUCCCAAAUCCUAUCAUCCCUGAAGGCAUUUGAGAACUACUAAUCCUAAAGGGAAGGGAGAUUUGGGCUUUUGUGGUUUUAAAAGGAUAAAAUUCUAAGGCGACAAUCAAAACGUAUAGAGCAGAUAUGGGGGCAACACAUAACAAUUAAAGGCUCAAACAGGCCUCCUUAACUUAAAGAUAGAUUGUUUAAUAUAUCUUGCACAUACUGGUUAUGGUCUUAGUUAAACUUAAUGGAAACGUGUGGCAGACUGAUUUAUUACAUAUUUUAGAUAAGAAACCCGAAUCAGACCUACCCUGGUUGGAAUUUAACAAAUUCUGAUUCCAUUAACUAAUUCAACUUAUGGCUUGCCUAGCUAAAACCUAUAGGCAUGAUAUCUAACAAUGCACAGAAAAGACUUGUUGGUUACAAGAAAACAUGAGUUCUAUAGAUAUUAAGCAAUGCUAUUUACUGAUUUUAGACUUAUAGGCAAAAUUGGCGAUUAAGAUUUAGUUGAUAGCUCCUAUAGGCAUGCUUUCUAGGUGCUAAAUGAUUUUAAAACGUUUACAGUUGAAAUAAAAGUGCAGAAGUCCUAUAGACAUGAUGUCUAGCAUGUUGUUUGUUAUUCAAACCUAUGAACACG